RNAcentral lists this ribosomal RNA (1244 nucleotides) under metagenome. RNAcentral's name for it is "bacterial LSU rRNA". It matches the Rfam family "Bacterial large subunit ribosomal RNA", at positions 1564 to 2818 of the family's 2925-position model. The record is from RNAcentral.
UGAGUACGAGAUGCUACGGCAUCGAAGCAGUCUAUGUCAUACUUCCAAGAAAAGCUUGCACUGUCAGAAACAGAUAAUGCCUGUACCAUAACCGACACAGGUGGGUAGGUAGAGUAUACUAAGGGGCGCGAGAUAACUCUCUCUAAGGAACUCGGCAAAAUGACUCCGUAACUUCGGGAGAAGGAGUGCCUUAUUUUUAAGGUUGCAAUAACAAGAUCCAAGCAACUGUUUACCAAAAACACAGGUCUCCGCUAAGUCGUAAGACGAUGUAUGGGGGCUGACGCCUGCCCAGUGCCAGAAGGUUAAAGAAGUCGGUCAGCAUUCGCGAAGCUGGUAACUGAAGCCCUGGUGAACGGCGGCCGUAACGAUAACGGUCCUAAGGUAGCGAAAUUCCUUGUCGGGUAAGUUCCGACCCGCACGAAAGGCGUAAUGAUUUGGAUACUGUCUCGGAGAGGGGCUCGGUGAAAUAGACUUGUCUGUGAAGAUGCGGACUACCUGCACCUGGACAGAAAGACCCUAUGAAGCUUUACUGUAACUUGAAAUUGAAAUUGGACUUUAUUUGCGCAGUAUAGGUGGGAGGCGUUGAAAAUAUUCUUGCGGGAAUAUUGGAGCCAUCAGUGAGAUACCACUCUUGUAAUGUUAGAUUUCUAACUUUAUAUCAUUAUCUGGUUAAAGAACAGUUUCAGGCGGGCAGUUUGACUGGGGCGGUCGCCUCCCAAAUGGUAACGGAGGCGCACAAAGGUUUCCUCUGAACGGGUAGAAAUCGUAUCUAGAGUGUAAAGGCAUAAGGAAGCUUGACUGUGAGACCUACAAGUCGAGCAGGGACGAAAGUCGGUCUUAGUGAUCUGACGGUGCUGAGUGGAAAGGCCGUCACUCAACGGAUAAAAGUUACUCUAGGAUAACAGGCUGAUCUCCCCCAAGAGUUCACAUCGACGGGGAGGUUUGGCACCUCGAUGUCGGCUCAUCGCAUCCUGGGGCGGUAGUACGUCCCAAGGGUUGGGCUGUUCGCCCAUGAAAGCGGUACGCGAGCUGGGUUCAGAACGUCGUGAGACAGUUCGGUCCAUAUCCGGUGUAGGCGUUAGAAUAUUGAGAGGAGCCUUCUUUAGUACGAGAGGACCGAGAAGGACAUACCUCUGGUGUACCAGUUAUCGUGCCAACGGUAAACGCUGGGUAGCUAUGUAUGGAGUGGAUAACCGCUGAAAGCAUCUAAGUGGGAAGCCCACCUCAAGAUAAGUAUUCUCAUG